This 287-nucleotide unclassified non-coding RNA is filed under the name uncultured fungus. RNAcentral describes it as "partial contains 5.8S ribosomal RNA, internal transcribed spacer 2, and large subunit ribosomal RNA". Lineage: Eukaryota; Fungi. The record is from RNAcentral.
AACGCAAAUCGCGCUCGAGGCCUCGGCCGAGAGCAUGUCUGCCUCAGCGUCGUCUCAAACCCUCCCUCUUCCUUUCACUCGAAAGGACAGCAGGGGAUGUGGUCGUUCCAGUGCCUCGCCACUGGAUCGGUCGAAAUGCAGAAGGACCCUCCUUUCAACAAGGGUCACGAAAGGUAGGUUGCCCUCGGGCGAUUCCUAUCGUGGCUCGAAAGGCAGGCCGCCCUACAGCCGGAGAAACACACCUAGACUUUGACCUGAGUUCAGGCAAGAACACCCGCUGAACUUAA